AUUGAACGCUGGCGGCAUGCUUUACACAUGCAAGUCGAACGGUAACAGGGUGCUUGCACCGCUGACGAGUGGCGAACGGGUGAGUAAUACAUCGGAAUGUACCCAGUAAUGGGGGAUAACGCUUCGAAAGGAGUGCUAAUACCGCAUACGCCCUGAGGGGGAAAGUGGGGGACCGCAAGGCCUCACGUUAUUGGAGCAGCCGAUGGCUGAUUAGCUAGUUGGUGAGGUAAAGGCGCACCAAGGCGACGAUCAGUAGCGGGACUUAGAGGACGCUCCGCCACACUGGAACUGGGAUACGGUCCAGACUCCUACGAGAGGCAGCAGUGGGGAAUCUUGGACAAUGGGCGAAAGCCUGAUCCAGCAAUGCCGCGUGCGUGAAGAAGGCCUUCGGGUUGUAAAGCGCUUUUGUCUGGGAGCAAAUCCUGGCCUCUAAUACAGGUCGGGGAUGAGAGUACCAGAAGAAUAAGGACCGGCUAACUACGUGCCAGCCGCCGCAGUAA
RNAcentral lists this ribosomal RNA (500 nucleotides) under uncultured bacterium. RNAcentral's name for it is "partial 16S ribosomal RNA". It matches the Rfam family "Bacterial small subunit ribosomal RNA", at positions 30 to 523 of the family's 1533-position model. The record is from RNAcentral.